UAGGGAAUCUUCCGCAAUGUGCGAAAGCCUGACGGAGCAACGCCGCGUGAGUGAUGAAGGUCUUCGGAUCGUAAAACUCUUUUAUUAGGGAAGAACAAAUGUGUAAUUAACUAUGCACGUCUCGACGUUACCUAAUCAGAAAGCCACGGCCAACUACGUGCCAGCAGCCGCGGUAAUACGUAGGUGGCAAGCGUUAUCCGGAAUUAUUGGGCGUAAAGCGCGCGUAGGCGGUUUUUUAAGUCUGAUGUGAAAGCCCACGGCUCAACCGUGGAGGGUCAUUGGAAACUGAAAAACUUGAGUGCAGAAGAGGAAAGUGGAAUUCCAUGUGUAGCGGUGAAAUGCGCAGGGAUAUGGAGGAACACCAGUGGCGAAGGCGACUUUCUGAUCUGUAACUGACGCUGAUGUGCGAAAGCGUGGGGAUCAAACAGG
This 429-nucleotide ribosomal RNA is filed under the name Actinomycetes bacterium. RNAcentral's name for it is "Actinobacteria bacterium partial 16S ribosomal RNA". It matches the Rfam family "Bacterial small subunit ribosomal RNA", at positions 355 to 776 of the family's 1533-position model. Lineage: Bacteria; Bacillati; Actinomycetota; Actinomycetes. The record is from RNAcentral.